GUGGGGAAUCUUCCGCAAUGGACGAAAGUCUGACGGAGCGACGCCGCGUGAGUGAAGAAGGCCUUCGGGUCGUAAAGCUCUGUCAUCGGGGACGAAUGGUCGAUGGAGUGGAAAGCCAUUGAAAUGACGGUACCCGAGAAGGAAGCCACGGCUAACUACGUGCCAGCAGCCGCGGUAAUACGUAGGUGGCAAGCGUUGUCCGGAAUUAUUGGGCGUAAAGCGCGCGCAGGUGGGAUCUUAAGUCUAUUUUGAAAGUUCGGAGCUUAACUCCGUGAUGGGAUAGAAACUGGGAUUCUUGAGUACCGGAGAGGAAAGCGGAAUUCCCCGUGUAGCGGUGAAAUGCGUAGAUAUGGGGAGGAACACCAGUGGCGAAGGCGGCUUCCUGGCACAAUACUGACGCUCAUGUGCGAAAGCUAGGGCAGCGAACGGGAUUAGAAACCCCGGUAGUCC
This 450-nucleotide ribosomal RNA is filed under the name uncultured bacterium. RNAcentral describes it as "partial 16S ribosomal RNA". It matches the Rfam family "Bacterial small subunit ribosomal RNA", at positions 354 to 796 of the family's 1533-position model. The record is from RNAcentral.